AGUCCAGAGCAGGGAGACGGGCCUGAGCCUCCAUGACCCUCACUUUCAGCAGUUCCCUUCCUCCCCGUGUAGUAACCGUAUCACGCAGCCCCCGAACAAAAGCUUCGUCUACAGGGUCAUGGUUACAGACAGCUGUAACCAUUUUAAGCUGCAAACCAGCUGAAUGGCAGAUUCCGCUGAAGGGAAGGUGGGGGACACUGGCAGAGAGAACUUCACGAUUGCACUGUUGGUGUCUUCCGUGUGCCCCCUCCCCUUGCCGCCGUGUCCCACGGAUCUUCUCCCGCGGCAGCAAGCCCUCUCUGCACUGCUUGGCAGUGUCUGCUUUAAGAGAGGAGCGGCCCUGCAGGGAGAGGGAGGGGACAGUCCGUCCACUGCUGCCUGGGAGCUUGAAUGGUAACAGCACCACUCCUCACUCUAGGAGAGUCAGGGAGGGAGCAGAUCCGAUGUCCUUUUUGUCCCCAGAGGCUUCUCCCAGAAGCAGCCUGUGAUCUAGUCAUUGUUGGAGACAAAUUAGACUCUUCAGACAGAAUACUCUCCAGGCAGCUGCAAAACCACCUCUAACUUUGGAAGAGAUUCACAUCCCAAUAUUGCCAACCACAGAGCUUGCUACCUCCGAUCCACCCACCACCUCAACCUGAGUCCACCUCCCGAGUGGAGAAGAAAACUCCCCGCAGAAAUCCUGCUAUUUCCUGCGGUGUUUAUGUUUGGCCAGAGACUUAUGUCUAUUUGUGCUUCUCUCUCUCCUCGAAGGAAGGAGACACAUCUUUCUCAUUUUCAUAUUUUCUCCUCUCUGGCCUCUCUUCCAACACUAAAGCAACUACCUCAGUUAGGUAGUGAAUCAGUCCACUGAGUGAGUGGAGGCUUUAAAGAAAUUAUUUAACAAUUCCGCA
RNAcentral lists this long non-coding RNA (890 nucleotides) under Fukomys damarensis (Damara mole-rat). RNAcentral's name for it is "lncRNA (ENSFDAG00000022967.1)". Lineage: Eukaryota; Metazoa; Chordata; Mammalia; Rodentia; Bathyergidae. The record is from RNAcentral.